GCAACAAGGAGAAGAAACUGAUCCAAAGGAAAUAGAAGUGAAUCAAAAUUAUCUGUACCGGGUAGCUUGAAUGGAUACAUGAGAUGCAGUAUAUCAUUAGGAGCCUUACCAUGGGAGCGCAUUAACCAUUGGUAAUGAGUUUCAUAUGGACAAAUCCCAGACCUCGCGGUUCCUCACCCUUAACAUCGUCAUGUGGAAGGUUGGCGCCAACGCACUGAUUAAUCAAUAAGUUUGAAAUCUUUAAAACUGUGCCACCAUAACAUUUCAUAACAGAGCAGCUCAUGUUUCCAAGUAGAGAGAUCAUCACGCUAAACCAUACAUUAGCUGGAAGAUCUACAAUUGAAUUCCAUGGAAGUAUAUUGAAAAGCAAGGUCAGACUGCUGAUACCCAUGUAAGUUAUCUUCAAUAACUGCACUACUAUAUCAUUCAUAACAAGUAGCUAAGGAUUCCAAUUCCAGACUAACCAAUAAUCAUCAUACCAAACAAUAUGGGAUGCCUGAAAGUCCCCACAGAAUUCUAUAAGCAUAUAUGCAAUUUCUCAACCACAGAACAGAAUGAAAUCCCAGAUUGUCAUCCAUUCUGAACUUUUAAGUCCAAUAAUUUCACUUCCCUGAAAAAACUAGUACUUGAAGACCUCUUCAAAGAACAAUGUCAACUGGUCCAAGCAGGAGAUAACCUCCCUCCCAAACACAAAUAAGAAAUAUCUGCGGAAUAACAACCAAUGGCAAGUAAUUUCCUUGGUAUGCCAAUGAAUAAUCCAAAUAAAUGCAGGAAUAUCCCACUACUCAUCCUCCAUCCAGCAAAUUUGACAAGCAGAUCUUAAGUUCUUGGCAAAUUGGCAAUAUAAUACACAGGCUAACUUCUACUUCAUAAGAGAAUAACCAAUUCCACAAUCUCUCAUUUAAAUCAAGCACGCAGCACAACUAUGUUUGCAUAUAAGCAACCUGCAGAAUACUGAAUCCACAUAAAACAGUGGCACCAAAACUAGUAUCAUUUUAACACCUUGUUCCCAGUUGGCAUUUAGGUAGUGUCUUCCUAAAUGAGCAGCUAUAAUAAUCCAGAACUGUACAUACUAUGACCUUCAAAUGCCAUCCCUGCGUGAUAGCCCCCUGUUAUAUUCGUU
Molecule: unclassified non-coding RNA, 1123 nt
Filed under: Hevea brasiliensis (rubber tree)
Lineage: Eukaryota; Viridiplantae; Streptophyta; Magnoliopsida; Malpighiales; Euphorbiaceae
Source: RNAcentral